This 674-nucleotide ribosomal RNA is filed under the name Ficus carica (common fig). Its description in RNAcentral is "eukaryotic LSU rRNA". The stretch from base 260 to 416 matches the Rfam family "5.8S ribosomal RNA". Lineage: Eukaryota; Viridiplantae; Streptophyta; Magnoliopsida; Rosales; Moraceae. The record is from RNAcentral.
GCGUAGGGUAUUGUUGGAAACCUGCUCAGCAGAGAGACCCGCGAACACGUACGACACUCGAGGGGGGCGAGGGGUGCGAACACGCCCCGGACCCUCCUCGCCGGGUGCUUGUGGCCCCGCCCCUCGCCCCCGGCUCCAAACGAACCCCGGCGCGGAAUGCGUCAAGGAAAGACAACGAGACGAUCCCCGCCAUCGAGGCCCCGGGAACGGUGACUCUGCCUCGGUGGUCGCUUCGGGAUCGGUUUUUAGUAUGAAGAACGACUCUCGUCAUCGGAUAUCUCGGCUCUCGCAUUGAUGAAGAACGUAGCGAAAUGCGAUACUCUGGUGUGAAUUGCAGAAUCCCGUGAACCAUCGAGUCUUUGAACGCAAGUUGCGCCCGAAGCCAUCAGGUCGAGGGCACGUCUGCCUAGGCAUCCCACGUCGCUGACCUCCGGAUUCCCCUCCCCGCUCCUAUCCGGAUGAGUUGGUUCUGUGUGGGGGGGCCGGAUGAUGUUCAACCGUGCGUGCGUUUCUGUCUAUAUGUCUGGUUUGACUAGGCAUAAUAAGUGUUGUCUUGACAACAUCUAGGGAAGCCCAGGACCUAGACUACUGUCUGCUAACUAAAGCUCCGCUUUAAGUCAUCCCCAAUGUUCCCCUCACGGGUGCCUCCCACUCGGCCUCAAGUCACCCUGCCG